GACGAACGCUGGCGGCGUGCUUAACACAUGCAAGUCGAACGGAAAGGCCCUGCUUUUGUGGGGUUCUCGAGUGCCGAACGGGUGAGUAACACGUGAGUAACCUGCCCUUGACUUUGGGAUAACUUCAGGAAACUGGGGCUAAUACCGGAUAGGAGCUCCUGCUGCAUGGGGGGGGUUGGUAAGUUUCGGCGGUUGGGGAUGGACUCGCGGCUUAUCAGCUGGAUGGGGGGGUAGUGGCUUACCAAGGCUUUGACGGGUAGCCGGCGUGAGAGGGUGACCGGCCACAAUGGGACUGAGAUACGGCCCAGACUCCUACGGGAGGCAGCAGUGGGGAAUAUUGCACAAUGGGCGGAAGCCUGAUGCAGCAACGCCGCGUGCGGGAUGACGUCCUUCGGGUUGUAAACCGCUUUCGCCUGUGACGAAGCGUGAGUGACGGUAAUGGGUAAAGAAGCACCGGCUAACUACGUG
Molecule: ribosomal RNA, 468 nt
Filed under: uncultured bacterium
Lineage: Bacteria
Description: partial 16S ribosomal RNA
Rfam family: Bacterial small subunit ribosomal RNA
Source: RNAcentral